RNAcentral lists this ribosomal RNA (171 nucleotides) under uncultured bacterium. RNAcentral describes it as "partial 16S ribosomal RNA". It matches the Rfam family "Bacterial small subunit ribosomal RNA", at positions 1322 to 1500 of the family's 1533-position model. The record is from RNAcentral.
GAAGUUGGAUUCGCUAGUAAUCGCGCAUCAGCCAUGGCGCGGUGAAUACGUUCCCGGGCCUUGUACACACCGCCCGUCAAGCCAUGGGAGCCGGGGGUGCCUGAAGUUCGUUACCGUAAGGAUCGACCUAGGGCAAAACUGGUGACUGGGGCUAAGUCGUAACAAGGUAAC